Molecule: ribosomal RNA, 610 nt
Filed under: uncultured Candidatus Poseidoniales archaeon
Lineage: Archaea; Methanobacteriati; Thermoplasmatota; Candidatus Poseidoniia; Candidatus Poseidoniales
Description: bacterial SSU rRNA
Rfam family: Archaeal small subunit ribosomal RNA
Source: RNAcentral
GAAUCCAGACCCUACGGGGUGCAGCAGGCGCGAAAACUUGGCAAUGCGAGAAAUCGUGACCAGGGAACUCCAAGUGCAUCGGGUAAGACCGAUGCUUUUCUUGACUCUUCAAAGGUCUUGGAAUAAGGGGUGGGUAAGGACGGUGCCAGCCGCCGCGGUAAUACCGGCGCCUCAAGUGGUAGUCGCUUUUAUUGGGCCUAAAACGUCCGUAGCCGGUUUGGUACAUUCGUGGGUAAAUCAAGGCGCUCAACGUCUUGAAUUCUGCGAGCACGGCCAGACUUGGGACCGGGUGAGGUGUGGGGUACUCUCAGGGUAGGGGUAAAAUCCUGUCAUCCUGAGAGGACCACCUGUUGCGAAGGCGCCACACUAGAACGGAUACGACGGUCAGGGACGAAGCCUAGGGGCACGAACCGGAUUAGAUACCCGGGUAGUCCUAGGUGUAAACGCUGUGGACUUGAUGUUGGGAGUGCUCCGAGCACCCUCAGUGUCGAAGCGAAGGUGAUAAGUCCACUGCCUGGGGAGUACGGUCGCAAGGCUGAAACUUAAAGGAAUUGGCGGGGGAGCACUGCAACCUGAGGAUUGUGCGGUUUAAUUGGACUCAACGCCGGAA